UACGGAAGGCAGCAGUGGGGAAUAUUGCACAAUGGGCGCAAGCCUGAUGCAGCCAUGCCGCGUGUAUGAAGAAAGCCUUCGGGUUGUAAAGUACUUUCAGUCGUGAGGAAGGUGUUAAGGUUAAUAACCUUAGCAAUUGACGUUAGCGACAGAAGAAGCACCGGCUAACUCCGUGCCAGCAGCCGCGGUAAUACGGAGGGUGCGAGCGUUAAUCGGAAUUACUGGGCGUAAAGGGCACGCAGGCGGUUAAUUAAGUUGGAUGUGAAAUCCCCGGGCUUAACCUGGGAAUGGCAUUCAAGACUGGUUAGCUAGAGUCUUGUAGAGGGGGUUAGAAUUCCAUGUGUAGCGGUGAAAUGCGUAGAGAUGUGGAGGAAUACCGGUGGCGAAGGCGGCCCCUGGACAAAGGACUGACGCUCAUGUGCGAAAGCGUGGGGAGCAAAC
RNAcentral lists this ribosomal RNA (441 nucleotides) under uncultured bacterium. Its description in RNAcentral is "bacterial SSU rRNA". It matches the Rfam family "Bacterial small subunit ribosomal RNA", at positions 340 to 773 of the family's 1533-position model. The record is from RNAcentral.